RNAcentral lists this ribosomal RNA (553 nucleotides) under Meristogenys kinabaluensis (Kiau Borneo frog). Its description in RNAcentral is "partial 16S ribosomal RNA". It matches the Rfam family "Bacterial large subunit ribosomal RNA", at positions 1829 to 2597 of the family's 2925-position model. Lineage: Eukaryota; Metazoa; Chordata; Amphibia; Anura; Ranidae. The record is from RNAcentral.
CGCCUCUUGACAACUUAUAAGAGGUCCAGCCUGCCCAGUGACAAAGUUCAACGGCCGCGGUACCCUAACCGUGCGAAGGUAGCAUAAUCACUUGUUCUUUAAAUAAGGACUUGUAUCAAAGGCAUCACGAGGGCUACACUGUCUCCUUUCUCCAAUCAGUGAAACUGAUCUUCCCGUGAAGAAGCGGGAAUCUACUUAUAAGACGAGAAGACCCCAUGGAGCUUUAAACCCAUUAUAUACCUCUGUUUAUUCACACCAAAAUAACCUAAAAGACUUAUAUACUGGUUUUAGGUUGGGGGGACCACGGAGUAAAACUUAACCUCCACGACAAAUGGGCUACGCCCUUAUUUAAGAACUACAAUUCUAAAAAUCAAUAAAUUAAUGUUAAAUGACCCGAAUUAUCGAUCAACGAACCAAGUUACCCUGGGGAUAACAGCGCAAUCUACUUCAAGAGCCCCUAUCGCCAAGUAGGUUUACGACCUCGAUGUUGGAUCAGGGUAUCCCAGUGGUGCAGCCGCUACUAAAGGUUCGUUUGUUCAACGAUUAAAACCCU